RNAcentral lists this non-coding RNA (22 nucleotides) under Arabidopsis thaliana (thale cress). Lineage: Eukaryota; Viridiplantae; Streptophyta; Magnoliopsida; Brassicales; Brassicaceae. The record is from RNAcentral.
UUCAGUUCUUCAGAUGGCACCU